Molecule: long non-coding RNA, 1155 nt
Filed under: Volvox carteri
Lineage: Eukaryota; Viridiplantae; Chlorophyta; Chlorophyceae; Chlamydomonadales; Volvocaceae
Description: long non-coding RNA (VCAR_LNC003608)
Source: RNAcentral
CAAUACUAACUGAAAAAUGGCGUAACACCGCCUCGAAGUUAGACCCCAAAUCUAGCAAUUCCUUCCUUAGUAACGCAAAGAUGCCACACUGGCUCAAACUGCAAGUACUGAAAGCUCAAUACGGGCUGCUAUUUAAUGCUAAGCUAAAGAAACUUUACGGACGAGGCGGAGACGGCAACUGCCCUAUCUGCCGCAGCUGCGGCCCGACCGGCCCCACACCCGACUCAGGAGCCCACAUACUCGGCGGGUGCCCCCACCCAACCAUGAAGGGCAUGUAUAUCAACCGGCAUAACCAAGUGACGCGCACUAUUGCCGACUGCGUUAAUGGAGGCCACCACGGUGGUGGCUUCAUGAUUAUGGACGCCAGUAAAGAAGAGGAUCUCCCGCCGUACUGCAGUGGGAUGCACGUCCCCAAAUGGAUGCUGCCACACUUAGUGGACGAGGAAAUCCGUCGCCUCCACCCAGACAUCAUGUUCAUCCCCGACCUCCCCGCGCACAGAACCAAGCGCAAACGGUACCAGGGGCCGGAGUGCAAAUCCAAGCAUGAUGUAUACAUUGUUGAAGUAGGCUACACCAGUGACCUACAGCACUCCGACAAACUCGAACAGAAAACCGCACAGCAUGCACGGCUAACAGAGGAACUCACGAAAGCAGGCUGGACGGUGCACUACACCGAGGCGCAAAUCGUCACCCUGGGAAGUACUGGGACGAUAACCAACACACUAAAACCAAUACUGUGCAGACUCAGCUCGUCCGCUGAGCAGGCCCAGAAGACCUGCCUGCACCUCCACCGGCAAACAAUCAAAGCAGCGGGCACGAUUAUCCGGGCGCGGCGAGUACUGGAGGGUACAGUCAAGUAACCGGUACAACCCGAACGGUUUCCCACGGUGGUGCGGGCAUACAGGGGCGGCUACACCGCCCCUCAGUUCCCCACCCCCUUAACACACGCCAGGCCUCGGCCGGCGUACUAUUAAUAUUAUUAUUAUUCUGACCCAUGCCGACUUCUGAAAUGUCAGUGGCAUUUUCGGGUCCAGCACGCACCAUCAGCACAUCCGGUGGAAUCUGUGCCUGGAAUCAACGGCGGCAGCAGCAAGUUUCCACUCCGGGUCGGCUUUUGCAGGUGUGUCACUACACCAGUGGUUCCAUCAUCUCGGC